Molecule: unclassified non-coding RNA, 329 nt
Filed under: soil metagenome
Description: partial contains 5.8S ribosomal RNA, internal transcribed spacer 2, and large subunit ribosomal RNA
Rfam family: 5.8S ribosomal RNA (bases 1-120)
Source: RNAcentral
GAUGAAGAACGUAGCGAAAUGCGAUAAGUAGUGUGAAUUGCAGACUUCAGUGAAUCAUCGAAUCUUUGAACGCACAUUGCGCCCCUUGGUAUCCCGAGGGGCAUGCCUGUUCGAGCGUCAUUUCACCACUCAAGCCUGGCUUGGUGUUGGGCGACGUCCCCUUUGGGGACGCGCCUCGAAACGCUCGGCGGCGUGGCACCGGCUUUAAGCGUAGCAGAAUCUUUCGCUUUGGAAGUCGGGGCCCCGUCUGCCGGAAGACCUACUCGCAAGGUUGACCUCGGAUCAGGCAGGGAUACCCGCUGAACUUAAGCAUAUCAAUAAGCGGAGGA